This 726-nucleotide unclassified non-coding RNA is filed under the name Hevea brasiliensis (rubber tree). Lineage: Eukaryota; Viridiplantae; Streptophyta; Magnoliopsida; Malpighiales; Euphorbiaceae. The record is from RNAcentral.
GGGAAAUCUCCUACACUAACCAGCAAAAACCAGAGCCAUGAAUCAACACAAAAAGGAAAGAAACUCUGCAUGCAAAUAAAAAAAAAUCGCACUUUGUUUUAGUUGCAAAGAACCAAAAUUAGAUUUUAAGUAUUGCAUAAAUUGUACAAAGUACUUCCAGUAGGGUGAGUUGACUCAUUAUAAUUGUGAUUAGCAUAAGAUAAAAAUCCUCAGCGUGUGUUAUCUGGGGGGAGAUGGGAUGAAAAUUCAGAUAAUUAGAGUAGUUAUCUUCUUCCACCCUUUUGAAUAUCAAAUAAUGGAAACAAAAUCCAAUUAGAGUCUAACUCAACCAUGGAUUCAUGUCCAAUCUUUCAAGAUCAGUAGUUUUUUCCUGGUCUUCUCAACAUUUUCUCAGCAAAAGUAUUUUUCCUUCAUUUCAAGUCAUAGUAGAUUUUAGACAUAACACCAUUAGAACUAGUUUAUUUUAUUACUAUGGAUAAAAAUAAAUCUAAAAGACUCAGUUAGCCUCAGAAGCUUAUACUCUGAGAAGUUAAACAAAGAAAAUUUACACUAGAGCAAUGUCAGAAUAUAGAAGAAAAAAAAAAUCAUUUGCCCAAGGGAGCAUAUAUGGUUGAACUCAUUCAAGUGAACUCCCAAAUAGCAAUUCUACAGACAAAAACAUAUUAAACCCAGAAAAAUUCAUAAUACCAAUUUUCGUUUCUUUCAACUCUGAUUUUUUUUUUUUCA